CACACCCCACACACACACACACACACACACACACACACACACACACACACACACACACACACACACACACACACAAUAAAGGGGAACAGGUGGUUCCAGUCAAGGUACGCCCACCAACAUCACCUCACCACGACUCGUACACCACCCACACUACUCUCCAUGAGUUGUGUUGUUUCAUUGUGUCUCUUGCGCUUCGCCGCAGCGAGUUAAAUAAACUCAAACCCAACUGACAGAGCAACACGACCACAUCCUUUUGGAGUCCGCUAGACCCAGAAGAUCUUCCGAUUAGAUUCGCCUUCCAAAUCCUUUAGCCGUUUGGUUAACUUUGUCCAGUGUGAAACACGUUUGUGCAACUCAGAUUCAGAUCUAGAGCACAGAGGGAUUAACGCCGUGGUAAAGGUUUGAUCCAUGGCGGUUCCCAGCGCGCUACUGGGACCAGUAUGAGUACUGGGUCUUAUCUGGUGGGGUGUGAUCUGAGACCACAGAAGGAGCCUGCAUGCCCUCAGCAGCCGUUAUCUACCGCUAAACACUUCCUGUGGCGCCCGGCGACUAGAGUAAACUUCCUCCACACUCACAAGUCACUCACUCAACCGUGCACACACAUGUAGACACCACGCACACACCAGACACAACCACAUGCACAAAACCACACAUACACAUACAGAGACAUAGACAACCAAAGGCACGAAACCACGCAUAAAACCACACACACACACACACACACACACAUGUAAACACCAUACACAAGCAUACACAAACACUCACACACGCACACACACACAUAGAAACAGACACACAGACACAC
This is a long non-coding RNA of Gadus morhua (Atlantic cod), 805 nucleotides long. RefSeq lists it as uncharacterized. The transcript is spliced from 3 exons. Lineage: Eukaryota; Metazoa; Chordata; Actinopteri; Gadiformes; Gadidae. The record is from RefSeq and is a predicted model, not a curated record.